GACUGCUGGUGUAGUCUAUUACCAGAAACUAUAGGAGCAUAACGACUGCUGGUGUAGCCUAUUACCAGAAACUAUAGGAGCAUAACGACUGCUGGUGUAGCCUAUUACCAGAAACUAUAGGAGCAUAACGACUGCUGGCUAUUACCAGAAACUAUAGGAGCAUAACGACUGCUGCUGUAGCCUAUUACCAGAAACUAUAGGAGCAUAACGACUGCUGGUGUAGCCUAUUACCAGAAACUAUAGGAGCAUAACGACUGCUGGUGUAGCCUAUUAACAGAAACUAUAGGAGCAUAACGACUGCUGGUGUAGCCUAUUACCAGAAACUAUUGGAGCAUAACGACUGCUGGUGUAGCCUAUUACCAGAAACUACAGGAGCAUAACGACUGCUGGUGUAGCCUAUUACCAGAAACUACAGGAGCAUAACGACUGCUGGAAUAGCCUAUUACCAGAAACUAUAGGAGCAUAACGACUGCUGGUGUAACCUAUUACCAGAAACUAUAGGAGCAUAACGACUGGUGGUGUAGUCUAUUACCAGAAACUAUAGGACCAUAACAUCAGAAUUUACGAAGGCCAGCAGCAGCGGAAGGAGUAGGCUAAGGAAGAGUUUUUUUCUGAUGGUUAGGCUAUCUUAAUCUCUGGCUCCCUCGAGUCAUUUGUGUGUCUUAAUUAUUUAAUAAGUCCCAAAAUGGAUGUAACAACCGCUGAUUGCCCCUUUAAGAGAACAUAUUGGGCUAAGCUAAUAGGAGAUAUUGAGGACUACAGUAUUUCAGGCAUUGUCAUUGGAUGCAUUUGAUCAAUUGUUAACGUUUUGUUGAUG
RNAcentral lists this long non-coding RNA (817 nucleotides) under Salmo salar (Atlantic salmon). Its description in RNAcentral is "lncRNA (ENSSSAG00000110708.1)". Lineage: Eukaryota; Metazoa; Chordata; Actinopteri; Salmoniformes; Salmonidae. The record is from RNAcentral.